UUUACAAUGGCAGACUUAUGCGUAGAAGUUAAGUUUCUAAGAUAUAUUAUUUUUGUAAAA
RNAcentral lists this transfer RNA (60 nucleotides) under Gordionus wolterstorffii. RNAcentral's name for it is "tRNA-Leu". Lineage: Eukaryota; Metazoa; Nematomorpha; Gordioida; Chordodea; Parachordodidae. The record is from RNAcentral.